AUGAAUUUAUAAUCCGGCGAGACGAAGGACGAGGACUGUCGCUGGCCUUUCAUCGAGGCAUGUGCACGCUCUCUUCUGGACUUUCGCCGUAUGGGCGCGGGGCGACCCGCGUCUUCAUAUACCUCUUCGUGUAGAAAGUCUUUGAAUGUUUUUACAAUCAUUAAAGUAACAAACGUAGUCUUAUUAUAAUCUAAUA
RNAcentral lists this unclassified non-coding RNA (196 nucleotides) under uncultured Suillus. RNAcentral's name for it is "sequence contains ITS1". The record is from RNAcentral. Lineage: Eukaryota; Fungi; Basidiomycota; Agaricomycetes; Boletales; Suillaceae.